GAAAUGCGAUAAGUAGUGUGAAUUGCAGAAUUUAGUGAAUCAUCGAAUCUUUGAACGCACAUUGCGCCCCCUGGUAUUCCGGGGGGCAUGCCUGUUCGAGCGUCAUUUCACCACUCAAGCCUCGCUUGGUAUUGGGCGACGCGGUCCGCCGCGCGCCUCAAAUCGACCGGCUGGGUCUUUCGUCCCCUCAGCGUUGUGGAAACUAUUCGCUAAAGGGUGCCGCGGGAGGCCACGCCGUAAAACAACCCCAUUUCUAAGGUUGACCUCGGAUCAGGUAGGGAUACCCGCUGACUUAAGC
This 298-nucleotide unclassified non-coding RNA is filed under the name plant metagenome. RNAcentral's name for it is "partial contains 5.8S ribosomal RNA, internal transcribed spacer 2, and large subunit ribosomal RNA". The stretch from base 1 to 105 matches the Rfam family "5.8S ribosomal RNA", at positions 50 to 154 of the family's 154-position model. The record is from RNAcentral.